GUGCCAGCAGCCGCGGUAAUACGAAGGGGGCUAGCGUUGCUCGGAAUUACUGGGCGUAAAGCGCACGUAGGCGGCGACGACAGUCAGGUGUGAAAGGCCUGGGCUCAACCCAGGAACUGCAUUUGAUACUGCGUUGCUAGAGUCCAAGAGAGGGUAGUGGAAUUCCCAGUGUAGAGGUGAAAUUCGUAGAUAUUGGGAAGAACACCAGUGGCGAAGGCGGCUACCUGGCUUGGUACUGACGCUCAGGUGCGAAAGCGUGGGGAGCGAACAGGAUUAGAUACCCUGGUAGUCC
Molecule: ribosomal RNA, 292 nt
Filed under: uncultured bacterium
Lineage: Bacteria
Description: partial 16S ribosomal RNA
Rfam family: Bacterial small subunit ribosomal RNA
Source: RNAcentral